Long non-coding RNA from Amphiprion ocellaris (clown anemonefish), 1423 nucleotides. The record is from Ensembl. Lineage: Eukaryota; Metazoa; Chordata; Actinopteri; Pomacentridae.
UUCCAUCGCAGCAGAGCAGGAAGCAGCUCCAGGUCCUUUCUGCAGGCAACGCAAAAACAGCAGCAGUCUUUCUCUAUGUGAGCCAUCGUGAUCUUCAGUGCAUCGAUGUCUUUACACUCCACAACAUCUGGAAUCUUCAGCAGGAUCCGGUUCCACUGUUGGACUCCAGGAGCCUGAUGGAACAUAAUAAACACACACAGGUUGGCCAUGAUGCGGUGAAGAUGUUCUGCAUCCUCUUGGACCGUUUGCUCCACGUCUGGGUUCCAACAUCUCUGCAGUUUACGUCGACUGCUCUGGAGGAGAUGCUUCAGAUGCAGCUGAAGGUUUUGGUCCAGAUCUGCAGGAGGCUUCGGGAAAAUCUGGGACAAGAAUCUUCGUACGAGGUGAACAACACGUUGUUGCAUAUCGUGUCGACCUGAGCAGCAAGAUCCGUCCUCAGGGGUGGUGGCAUCAGAAUACUUCCCGAGAAGCUCAAAUAGCUCCUGAAGAAAGACGUCUUUCUCCUGCUGCAGGUGUUCUUCCUCCUCAGUGUUGACGGUGUUCUGAACCAAGGGCUCGGCUACAGUGUAUCCUGUAAAAGAUAUGAAAAGGGAUUAUUCAUGGACACCGAAUCCCUUUUUAGGGGGUCGUGUCUCAUUUUUUGAUUGGUCUUGUCCACAUCACAGAGCAGUUACAAUAAUCACUUUUGGAAUAAACCAAACACAGAAACUUUAAAAGCUUAACUGGAGUCCAAGCUCUUAGUGAGUCCAUUUCAUUUAGUGCUAAUGUUACACUUGGGUUUGUAAUUGCUGCUUUCUGUCAUUUUCCAACACGGUUUUCCAACGUUUUCACUCACUGUUUACUUUAGUUUUCGAAACCGAAAGUCUGACAUGGUUAGUUCAAGGGCCGUCAACAAUUCUUUCCAUUUUUACAGCUCUUGGUUCUGAUAAAUGGUGUAAGUUUGGCAGUUGUUUUGAUUUAUUAACUUCUUUAAAGGUGCCUUUAAAAAAUCUGCCGGUGGGUUUUGGAGGCGCGGCAGGAUUACUGCACAGGAAACAAAGGAAUUUCUACUCCUGUUGUUCUUGAACUACAGUUCUUAUCACGGUUUAGUGACUUCUUAUCAAAUAUUUUUCCCAGAAGUUUGACUAAGGUAGGAAUGGGCCGAGCUUGGAAAAAAUGACGUAACAUUUUCGAUGGAUGAUUAUGAAACUGUUCAGCGUGCAGACAUUGGCUUCAGCUGAAUACUGGUUUGGAGGAUAUGUGUAGCUUCCAGACAAUGACUUCUAGUGACUUUGUUGGCACCAUGAUGUUUUGUUUAACCACAAGGCAUUCACUGAUCUACUUCUUAGCUUUUCCAUUCAUCAUAAGAAAGUGGAAGAACCGAUUCGUUUACUACAAUAAAAAUUGGAGCCGAUGAUAACACGACUGGCAUCACAGAAGAAAC